This 1398-nucleotide ribosomal RNA is filed under the name uncultured bacterium. Its description in RNAcentral is "bacterial SSU rRNA". It matches the Rfam family "Bacterial small subunit ribosomal RNA". The record is from RNAcentral.
AGAGUUUGAUCCUGGCUCAGAACGAACGCUGGCGGCGCGUCUUAAGCAUGCAAGUCGAACGGCAAGGCAGGUGCUUGCACCUGCCCUAGAGUGGCGGACUGGUGAGUAACACGUGGGUGACAUGCCUUUUAGUUGGGGAUAGCUACUAGAAAUAGUAGAUAAUACCGAAUGUGAUCAAUAUUUAUAGAUGAUGUUGAGGAAAGGAGCUAAGGCUUCGCUAAAAGAUUGGCCCGCGGCCCAUUAGCUAGUUGGUAGGGUAAAGGCUUACCAAGGCGAUGAUGGGUAUCCGGCCUGAGAGGGUGAUCGGACACAUUGGGACUGAGAUACGGCCCAGACUCCUACGGGAGGCAGCAGCUAAGAAUAUUCCACAAUGGACGAAAGUCUGAUGGAGCGACGCCGCGUGGAUGAUGAAGGCCGAAAGGUUGUAAAAUCCUUUUACACUGGAGGAAUAAGCAGAGUAGGGAAUGACUCUGUGUUGACUGUACAGUUUGAAUAAGCAACGGCUAAUUACGUGCCAGCAGCCGCGGUAACACGUAAGUUGCGAGCGUUGUUCGGAAUUAUUGGGCGUAAAGGGCAUGUAGGCGGAUUUGCAAGCUUGAUGUGAAAUCCCGCAGCUUAACUGCGGAACUGCAUUGAGAACUGCAAGACUAGAGUUACUGAGGGGAAACUAGAAUUCCAAGUGUAGGGGUGAAAUCUGUAGAUAUUUGGAAGAAUACCAAUGGCGAAGGCAAGUUUCUGGCAGAUAACUGACGCUGAGGUGCGAAGGUGCGGGGAGCAAACAGGAUUAGAUACCCUGGUAGUCCGCACAGUAAACGAUGUACACUAGGUGUUUGACCAUGAGGUUGAGUGCCAUAGCUAACGCAAUAAGUGUACCGCCUGGGAAGUAUGCCCGCAAGGGUGAAACUCAAAGGAAUUGACGGGGGCCCGCACAAGCGGAGGAACAUGUGGUUUAAUUCGAUGAUACGCGAGGAACCUUACCCGGGCUCGAACGGUGCAUGAAUAUACGAGAGAUUGUAUAGUCCUUCGGGACAUGUAUCGAGGUGCUGCAUGGUUGUCGUCAGCUCGUGCCGUGAGGUGUCGGCUUAAGUGCCAUAACGAGCGCAACCCUUGUCAUUAGUUGCCAUCAGGUCAAGCUGGGGACUUUAAUGAGACUGCCACCGUAAGGUGUGAGGAAGGGGGGGAUGACGUCAAAUCAGCACGGCCCUUAUGUCCGGGGCGACACACGUGUUACAAUGGGAGGUACAGAGGGCAGCUAUCCGGUGACGGAAUGCUAAUCUCCAAAACCUUUCUCAGUUCGGAUUGGAGUCUGCAACUCGACUCCAUGAAGGUGGAUUCGCUAGUAAUCGCGCAUCGGCCAUGGCGCGGUGAAUACGUUCCCGGGCCUUGUACUCACCGCCC